GACGAACGCUGGCGGCGUGCUUAACACAUGCAAGUCGAACGGAAAGGCCCUGCUUUUGUGGGGUGCUCGAGUGGCGAACGGGUGAGUAACACGUGAGUAACCUGCCCUUGACUUUGGGAUAACUUCAGGAAACUGGGGCUAAUACCGGAUAGGAGCUCCUGCUGCAUGGUGGGGGUUGGAAAGUUUCGGCGGUUGUGGAUGGACUCGCGGCUUAUCAGCUUGAUGGUGGGGUAGUGGCUUCCCAAGGGUUUGACGGGUAGCCGGCCUGGGAGGGGGGCCGGCCUCAUGGGGCCUGAGAUACGGCCCAGACGCCUACGGGAGGCAGCAGUGGGGAAUAUGGCACAAUGGGCGGAAGCCUGAUGCAGCAACCCCGCGUGCGGGAUGACGGCCUUCGGGUUGUAAACCGCUUUCGCCUGUGACGAAGCGUGAGUGACGGUAAUUGGUAAAGAAGCACCGGCUAACUACGUG
RNAcentral lists this ribosomal RNA (468 nucleotides) under uncultured bacterium. Its description in RNAcentral is "partial 16S ribosomal RNA". It matches the Rfam family "Bacterial small subunit ribosomal RNA", at positions 28 to 507 of the family's 1533-position model. The record is from RNAcentral.